This 445-nucleotide ribosomal RNA is filed under the name Salmonella enterica subsp. enterica serovar Typhimurium. Its description in RNAcentral is "partial 23S ribosomal RNA". It matches the Rfam family "Bacterial large subunit ribosomal RNA", at positions 74 to 558 of the family's 2925-position model. Lineage: Bacteria; Pseudomonadati; Pseudomonadota; Gammaproteobacteria; Enterobacterales; Enterobacteriaceae. The record is from RNAcentral.
AGCGCCGGUAAGGUGAUAUGAACCGUUAUAACCGGCGAUACCCGAAUGGGGAAACCCAGUGUGAUUCGUCACACUAUCAUUAACUGAAUCCAUAGGUUAAUGAGGCGAACCGGGGGAACUGAAACAUCUAAGUACCCCGAGGAAAAGAAAUCAACCGAGAUUCCCCCAGUAGCGGCGAGCGAACGGGGAGGAGCCCAGAGCCUGAAUCAGCAUGUGUGUUAGUGGAAGCGUCUGGAAAGGCGCGCGAUACAGGGUGACAGCCCCGUACACAAAAGCGCAUGUGCUGUGAGCUCGAUGAGUAGGGCGGGACACGUGGUAUCCUGUCUGAAUAUGGGGGGACCAUCCUCCAAGGCUAAAUACUCCUGACUGACCGAUAGUGAACCAGUACCGUGAGGGAAAGGCGAAAAGAACCCCGGCGAGGGGAGUGAAAAAGAACCUGAAACCG